GCCUAGAACUUAGAAGGAUGAAGGAAAAUUAUUUUCCUCUCCUACACUCAUCAUGGAAGAGAAAGAGAACAUGGUAGAAACACAUGGUGUCUCCUAGAACUUCUGCUUAAAGGUAUGGCGGAAGGAAAUGAAGACUCUCUAAACAAGAACAAUAAAGGCUACCUGAGCUUCUAUGUGGCUGGGGAGUCAGCCACCUUCACUUGCACUUGGCAGACUCAAAGGCAGACAGGGGCGUGGAAAAGCUUGACAGUAGAAAAAAGGCAGACUUCCUUCGGCUCUGAUUGGCUGAUGGCGGCACAGGGAAGCUCUAGAUAUCAUCGUCACCUUCAUCGUUACUAACAUGUGGAGCACCUAACACAGUGAUGGCGAACCUAUGACACGCGUGUCAGAGGUGACACGCGAACUCAUUUUUUUG
Myotis brandtii (Brandt's bat) is the source of this 415-nucleotide long non-coding RNA. RefSeq lists it as uncharacterized. Lineage: Eukaryota; Metazoa; Chordata; Mammalia; Chiroptera; Vespertilionidae. The transcript has 3 exons. The record is from RefSeq and is a predicted model, not a curated record.